Molecule: long non-coding RNA, 625 nt
Filed under: Marmota monax (woodchuck)
Lineage: Eukaryota; Metazoa; Chordata; Mammalia; Rodentia; Sciuridae
Source: RNAcentral
CCUCCUGCCAUCAGUGCCAGUAAGUUACUUCUGAGGCUCGGACAUCCUUCAGCCUGAAGACCUUUAGUCAUAACAAACACUUCUGGUCACUGGGAGUAAAAGACCUGAGAAGAACAACCAAGAGCAGGAAAAGCUUAUUUUAGUUCAUGGUUUCAGAGGUUCAGUCCAUGGACGGCCGACUCCAUGGCUCUGAGCCCGAGGAGAGGCAGAACAUCAUGGCGGAAGGGUGUGGUGGAGGAGAGCAGCUCAGGACCCGACAGCCAGGAAGCAGACAGAGAGAGAGCCCUGCUCACCAGGGACAAAAUUUGAACCCCAAAGUCAUGCCCCCAGUGACCUGCAUCCUCCAGCCACACCCAGCUGCCCAUAGUCACCAUCUACAGCAGUUUUUCCAAGUUAUUAAGCCACCAAUGGAUUAAUUCACUGAUUAGAUUACGAUGAUCACCAUCUCAUCAGCCUCGUUUACCUCACGAGGAAACUCCCCCGUCCCGAGGGAGACUGCACAGGUGGCAGGUGACAACAAAACUUGGCCACUUCCAGGUCACCUCAACCCAUCACGGAACUGUUCCCAGUGAACCUGAAGUCUUCACCUCUGUGGCCAAUGGACACUCAGCCACGUUCUCCCCAG